UACAGAGGUCCCAAGCGUUGUUCGGAUUCACUGGGCGUAAAGGGUGCGUAGGUGGCAGGGCAAGUUUGAUGUGAAAGCUCCGAGCUCAACUCGGAAAUGGCAUUGAAUACUGCCUUGCUAGAGGAUUGGAGGGGGGACUGGAAUUCUCGGUGUAGCGGUGAAAUGCGUAGAUAUCGAGAGGAACACCAGUGGCGAAGGCGAGUCCCUGGACAAUACCUGACACUGAGGCACGAAAGCUAGGGGAGCAAACAGG
Molecule: ribosomal RNA, 253 nt
Filed under: uncultured bacterium
Lineage: Bacteria
Description: partial 16S ribosomal RNA
Rfam family: Bacterial small subunit ribosomal RNA
Source: RNAcentral